AGUGGCGAACGGGUGAGUAACACGUGGGUGACCUAGCUUAGGUGAUGGGAUAGCCUGUGGAAACACAGGGUAAUACCGAAUACGCCUUACAGGCAGAGCUGUGAAGGGAAAAGGGCGCUUUAGGGCGCUGCACUAAGGGGGGGCCUGCGGGCCAUUAGGCUAGUUGGUGGGGUAAUGGCCUACCAAGGCGACGAUGGAUAGCCGGCCUGAGAGGGGUGUACGGCCACACUGGGACUGAGAGACGGCCCAGACUCCUACGGGAGGCAGCAGCUAAGAAUCUUCCGCGAAUGGGGGGAACCUGACGGAGCGACGCCGCGUGAACGAGGAAGGCCGAAAGGUUGUAAAGUUCUUUUCUUGGGGAAGAAUAAGGGGAAGAGAGAAUGCUUCUCUGAUGACGGUAACCGAGGAAAAAGCCCCGGCCAAUUACGUGCCAGCAGCCGCGGUAACACGUAAGGGGCGAGCGUUGUUCGGAAUUAUUGGGCGUAAAGAGCGUGUAGGCGGUUUUGUAAGCCUGGUGUAAAAGGCGUACGCUUAACGUACGUAGGUCGCUGGGGACUGCGAGACUAGAGUGUAGGAAGGGGAGCUGGAAUUCCGGGUGUAGGGGUGAAAUCUGUAGAUAUCUGGAAGAACACCGAUGGCGAAGGCGAGCUUCUAGCAGUACGCUGACGCUGAGGCGCGAAAGCGUGGGGAGCGAACGGGAUUAGAUACCCUUGGAGUCCACGCUGUAAACGAUGUGCACUAGGUGUUGGUGCGAAUGCAUCCAGUGCCCGUAGUUAACGCGAUUAA
Molecule: ribosomal RNA, 786 nt
Filed under: uncultured bacterium
Lineage: Bacteria
Description: bacterial SSU rRNA
Rfam family: Bacterial small subunit ribosomal RNA
Source: RNAcentral